UUGUCAAAAAUCCCAUAAACA
Molecule: transfer RNA, 21 nt
Filed under: Rattus exulans (Polynesian rat)
Lineage: Eukaryota; Metazoa; Chordata; Mammalia; Rodentia; Muridae
Description: partial tRNA-Phe
Source: RNAcentral